AUGCAGGUGCUGCUUUUGUUGGCUUCGCAAAUGGGCAGGGGAAAGAAAAAAGCACGCGAUGCUAUGGACGACAGACGGAGCGCAGAGGACCCGGGGCCCCGUCGGGUGCCGUGCAGCAGCUGGUGUUGUGAAUCAGGCCGUCGCCAGUCGGAGAACGGCUACUUCACAACACCAGGGUGGCACCGCACCACGCUUCGACCGCCGGCCGGGGAGGAGCGGAGGUUCCCGAGGAUGGGCACGGCAAGGGGGAGCACGGCCUCGCUGCCUCCGCCCCAGCCCAGACCUGCAAAGGUAAUCAGGUGCUCAACUCCUAUUUAGGCACCAGCCUCCCACGGAAGUCUGAAAUAGAAGUUAGGCCCCUAAAUAUCUCUGCGGGUCUGGCCCCGAGGCCCGGCCUCGCUGUGCGGCAUGGGGCAGUCCUGUCACGGCUCAGUCACGGCCUGCACGUGUGCUCCGUGAAUGGUGAGGAACGGGUGACUUCUGGCGGGUGGUGGAAAGCUGCGGGGUGAGCAGCCUCUGCGUGCUCCACGUGUAGCCCAGCGGACACCUCAUCGCGUAUCAUUCUGUAAAAGGUGCUGUAGGCACUGUGGAAGAAGCCGGGCUCCCUGGAAAUGACAUUAAAACAGCCCCAGGUGUGUUGUAAUAAAAGACAAAGUACCAAAAAUAAAGAGUGGGGU
This 677-nucleotide long non-coding RNA is filed under the name Anser brachyrhynchus (Pink-footed goose). Lineage: Eukaryota; Metazoa; Chordata; Aves; Anseriformes; Anatidae. The record is from RNAcentral.